This is a non-coding RNA of Potamilus streckersoni, 68 nucleotides long. The record is from the annotation of a GenBank genome assembly. Lineage: Eukaryota; Metazoa; Mollusca; Bivalvia; Unionida; Unionidae.
UCAGUGGCCUAGUGGUUAGAGCGUCUGCCUCAGAUGCAGGAGGUUGGUUUGAACCCCAGCCAGGUCAU